This 449-nucleotide ribosomal RNA is filed under the name uncultured bacterium. Its description in RNAcentral is "bacterial SSU rRNA". It matches the Rfam family "Bacterial small subunit ribosomal RNA", at positions 29 to 489 of the family's 1533-position model. The record is from RNAcentral.
AGUGAACGCUGGCGGCGUGCUUAACACAUGCAAGUCGAACGAGAACGGAUUAUAGCUUGCUAUAAUUGUCAGCUAAGUGGCGCACGGGUGAGUAAUAUAUAGGUAACGUGCCCUAGAGAGGGGAUAACAGUUGGAAACGAUUGCUAACACCCCAUAUGCCUUUAAGACUUAAGUCUGCAAGGGAAAUAUUUAUAGCUCUAGGAUCGGCCUGUACAGUAUCAGUUAGUUGGUGAGGUAAUGGCUCACCAAGACAAUGACGCUUAACUGGUUUGAGAGGAUGAUCAGUCACACUGGAACUGAGACACGGUCCAGACUCCUACGGGAGGCAGCAGUGGGGAAUAUUGCACAAUGGACGAAAGUCUGAUGCAGCAACGCCGCGUGGAGGAUGACACAUUUCGGUGCGUAAACUCCUUUUAUAUAGGAAGAUAAUGACGGUACUAUAUGAAUAA